GACGAACGCUGGCGGCGUGCUUAACACAUGCAAGUCGAACGGGAAGGCCCUGCUUUUGUGGGGUGCUCGAGUGGCGAACGGGUGAGUAACACGUGAGUAACCUGCCCUUGACUUUGGGAUAACUUCAGGAAACUGGGGCUAAUACCGGAUAGGAGCUCCUGCUGCAUGGUGGGGGUUGGAAAGUUUCGGCGGUUGGGGAUGGACUCGCGGCUUAUCGGCUUGUUGGUGGGGUAGUGGCUUACCAAGGCUUUGACGGGUAGCCGGCCUGAGAGGGUGACCGGCCACAUUGGGACUGAGAUACGGCCCAGACUCCUACGGGAGGCAGCAGUGGGGAAUAUUGCACAAUGGGCGGAAGCCUGAUGCAGCAACGCCGCGUGCGGGAUGACGGCCUUCGGGUUGUAAACCGCUUUCGCCUGUGACGAAGCGUGAGUGACGGUAAUGGGUAAAGAAGCACCGGCUAACUACGUG
RNAcentral lists this ribosomal RNA (468 nucleotides) under uncultured bacterium. RNAcentral's name for it is "partial 16S ribosomal RNA". It matches the Rfam family "Bacterial small subunit ribosomal RNA", at positions 28 to 507 of the family's 1533-position model. The record is from RNAcentral.